AUAUGCUUGUCUUAAAGAUUAAGCCAUGCAUGUAUCAGUACAAGCCUCACUAAGGUGAAACCGCGAAUGGCUCAUUAAAUCAGUUAUGAUUUCCUGGCCGAGACAGUGAUACAUGGAUAACUGUGGUAAUUCUAGAGCUAAUACAUGCAACCGAGCCCCAGUCCGGCCUCUCGGGGACGGCGGGGCGCUUUUAUUGGCUGAAAACCGAUGAUCGCCGCUCGCGCGGUGGUCGUUAUUCGAUGAAUCACAAUAACAUUGUGUGGAUCGUACGGUCUUGUACCGACGACGCGCCUUUCAAAUAUCUGCCUUAUCAGCUCUCGACGGUUUGCUAGUGGCUGACCGUGGCUCUGACGGGUAACGGGGAAUCUGGGUUCGGUUCCGGAGAGGGAGCCUGAGAGAUGGCUACCACAUCUAAGGAAGGCAGCAGGCGCGUAACUUACCCACUCCCAGUUCAGGGAGGUAGUGACAAUAAAUACCUUACAGAGGUCUCGUUAACCGAGAUCUCUCAAACGGAAUGAGUACAACGUGAAUCCUUUAACAAGGAUCGACUGGAGGGCAAGCCUGGUGCCAGCAGCCGCGGUAAUUCCAGCUCCAGUAGCGUAUAUUAAAGNUGU
This 614-nucleotide ribosomal RNA is filed under the name Pollicipes polymerus. Its description in RNAcentral is "SSU rRNA". It matches the Rfam family "Eukaryotic small subunit ribosomal RNA", at positions 26 to 613 of the family's 1831-position model. Lineage: Eukaryota; Metazoa; Arthropoda; Thecostraca; Pollicipedomorpha; Pollicipedidae. The record is from RNAcentral.